RNAcentral lists this ribosomal RNA (498 nucleotides) under uncultured bacterium. RNAcentral's name for it is "partial 16S ribosomal RNA". It matches the Rfam family "Bacterial small subunit ribosomal RNA", at positions 30 to 523 of the family's 1533-position model. The record is from RNAcentral.
AUUGAACGCUGGCGGCAUGCCUUACACAUGCAAGUCGAACGGUAACAGGUCUUCGGAUGCUGACGAGUGGCAAACGGGUGAGUAAUACAUCGGAACGUGCCCGAUCGUGGGGGAUAACGAAGCGAAAGCUUUGCUAAUACCGCAUAAGAUCUACGGAUGAAAGCAGGGGACCGCAAGGCCUUGCGCGAACGGAGCGGCCGAUGGCAGAUUAGGUAGUUGGUGGGAUAAAAGCUUACCAAGCCGACGAUCUGUAGCUGGUCUGAGAGGACGACCAGCCACACUGGGACUGAGACACGGCCCAGACUCCUACGGGAGGCAGCAGUGGGGAAUUUUGGACAAUGGGCGAAAGCCUGAUCCAGCCAUGCCGCGUGCAGGAUGAAGGCCUUCGGGUUGUAAACUGCUUUUGUACGGAACGAAAAGACUCUUUCUAAUAAAGAGGGUCCAUGACGGUACCGUAAGAAUAAGCACCGGCUAACUACGUGCCAGCCGCCGCGGUAA